GUGAGUAACACGUGGAUAACCUACCUAUAAGACUGGGAUAACUUCGGGAAACCGGAGCUAAUACCGGAUAAUAUAUUGAACCGCAUGGCUCAAUAGUGAAAGACGGUUUUGCUGUCACUUAUAGAUGGAUCCGCGCCGCAUUAGCUAGUUGGUAAGGUAACGGCUUACCAAGGCGAUGAUGCGUAGCCGACCUGAGAGGGUGAUCGGCCACACUGGAACUGAGACACGGUCCAG
This 234-nucleotide ribosomal RNA is filed under the name uncultured Staphylococcus sp. Its description in RNAcentral is "partial 16S ribosomal RNA". It matches the Rfam family "Bacterial small subunit ribosomal RNA", at positions 106 to 334 of the family's 1533-position model. Lineage: Bacteria; Bacillati; Bacillota; Bacilli; Caryophanales; Staphylococcaceae. The record is from RNAcentral.